RNAcentral lists this ribosomal RNA (1261 nucleotides) under metagenome. Its description in RNAcentral is "bacterial LSU rRNA". It matches the Rfam family "Bacterial large subunit ribosomal RNA", at positions 1628 to 2925 of the family's 2925-position model. The record is from RNAcentral.
UCGGUUAUAGCAGCCCGUACCGUAAACCGACACAGGUAGUCGAGGAGAGUAUCCUCAGGCGCUCGAGUGAUCCGUGGUAAAGGAACUAGGCAAAUUGACGCUGUAACUUCGGGAUAAGGCGUACUGCAGUAAUGCAGUCUCAGUAAAAUGGUCCAACCAACUGUUUAACAAAAACACAGGGCCCUGCAAAUCGAAAGAUGACGUAUAGAGCCUGAUACCUGCCCGGUGCUGGAAGGUUAAGGAAGGAUGUCCGGCGCAGGCCAAAGCUUCUGACUGAAGCCCCAGUAAACGGCGGCCGUAACUAUAACGGUCCUAAGGUAGCGAAAUUCCUUGUCGGGUAAGUUCCGACCUGCACGAAUGGUCUAAUGAGUUGGACACUGUCUCUACCACGAGCUCGGUGAAAUUGUAGUAUCGGUGAAGAUGCCGGUUAAUCGCAACAGGACGGAAAGACCCCGUGAACCUUCACUACAACUUAACAUUGAUUUUGAACCACAGAUGUGUAGGAUAGUUGGGAGACUAUGAAGCAGCUUCGCCAGGAGUUGUGGAGUCAACGUUGAAAUACCAACCUUCUGUUGUUUAGAGUCUAAUACCUCACGGUGGACAUUGUUUGGUGGGUAGUUUGACUGGGGUGGUCGCCUCCUAAAAAGUAACGGAGGCUCGCAAAGGUACCCUCAGUACGGUUGGUAAUCGUACGCAGAGCGCAUUAGUAAAAGGGUGCUUGACUGUGAGGCAAACAAGCCGAGCAGGAGCGAAAGCUGGCUAAAGUGAUCCGGUGAUUCUGCAUGGAAGGGUCAUCGCUCAAAGGAUAAAAGGUACUCCCGGGAUAACAGGCUGAUCUCCCCCAAGAGCUCAUAUCGACGGGGAGGUUUGGCACCUCGAUGUCGGUUCGUCACAUCCUGGGGCUGGAGAAGGUCCCAAGGGUUCGGCUGUUCGCCGAUUAAAGUGGCACGUGAACUGGGUUCAGAACGUCGCAAGACAGUUCGGUCCCUAUCUGUUGUGAUCGUUAGUAAAUUGCGAGGACAUGACCUUAGUACGAGAGGACCGGGUCGUACAUACCGCUGGUGUAUCAGUUGUGCCGCCAGGUGCAAUGCUGAGUAGCUAUGUAUGGACAGGAUAAACGCUGAAAGCAUCUAAGCGUGAAACCAACCUCAAGAUGAGUUUACUUUUAAGGGCCGUCGGAGACUACGACGUUGAUAGGCUACAGGUGUAAGGGUGGUAACAUCGAAGCCGAGUAGUACUAAUUGCCCGUAAGCUUUAAUGA